CACCAUCACUGUGCCUGCCGACGCCGCUGUCUUUCGACCUCAGCGUCGACCUCCUCCACUUGACCGUGCCCUAGCUCCGAACCAAGUCUUCUUCCUCAGUUUUUCUAGUUGUUAUCGCCAGUGUAACUCUAGCCAGUAUUCAACAGCCGCUGGGACCAAUCGUCGAAGAAGGAACUGUUGAUUUGAGGAAACACAGGGUUCCCGGCAGCAACUUCGCUGUGACUUAGGCAACAAAUUUCCAGCAUCAAUAGGGGGCUUCAGAUUAAGGACUGUGACGCGAGACGAGUAUCUCGGAGUCAGAUUUGGACUUUUCUUAUCGG
Long non-coding RNA from Zingiber officinale, 320 nucleotides. RefSeq lists it as uncharacterized. NCBI's taxonomy places the organism in Eukaryota, Viridiplantae, Streptophyta, Magnoliopsida, Zingiberales, Zingiberaceae. The record is from RefSeq and is a predicted model, not a curated record. The transcript is spliced from 3 exons.